RNAcentral lists this ribosomal RNA (253 nucleotides) under uncultured bacterium. RNAcentral describes it as "partial 16S ribosomal RNA". It matches the Rfam family "Bacterial small subunit ribosomal RNA", at positions 524 to 776 of the family's 1533-position model. The record is from RNAcentral.
UACAGAGGGGGCAAGCGUUAUUCGGAAUUACUGGGCGUAAAGCGCACGUAGGCGGCUCUUUAAGUCGGAGGUGAAAUCCUGGAGCUCAACUCCAGAACUGCCUUCGAUACUGUAGAGCUUGAGUCCGGGAGAGGUGAGUGGAACUGCGAGUGUAGAGGUGAAAUUCGUAGAUAUUCGCAAGAACACCAGUGGCGAAGGCGGCUCACUGGCCCGGUACUGACGCUGAGGUGCGAAAGCGUGGGGAGCAAACAGG